This is a long non-coding RNA of Cygnus olor (mute swan), 1539 nucleotides long. RefSeq lists it as uncharacterized. The record is from RefSeq and is a predicted model, not a curated record. NCBI's taxonomy places the organism in Eukaryota, Metazoa, Chordata, Aves, Anseriformes, Anatidae. The transcript is spliced from 4 exons.
UCGUUCUGGCUCAACGUGUGUGCGGCCUCUGAAGCAGAAUUUAAAAUUUCCAGUGGUGUUACAUUUUCCUCCACAAGAGGGAGAUGUCCUUUGCUUGAUGCUCUCAUGAAAAGGAGAGAACAUGAUUUUGAGACGUGAUCAGGGCAGCAGAAUCAGAGCGAUCUGGAUGGUAGAGGUACAUGCUGGCCUAUUGACCUCACUCCAUAUGUCUCAGCUAUUCUUCCCCAGAAAUGAGCAUGGACUUACACGGAUCUGAGGAGGAAGUUACUGAUGCUGCAGCAAUUCCAGUUGACCCAAAAUAUACAUGGAAAAUAUCCUAUAAUUUACCUCAUGGCUGAAGGUGAGAAUGAGUAGAGCAAGAAAUCGAGGGUUCAUUCUUGUUCCAGAGACCAUGCCAUGGAGUCAUUGAAAACGGGUAAAAAGGACUUCAACCAGACCCAAGGAGUUCAUCUCCAUGGCAGGAUCAAAUCUGUUCCUGACAGAGAACCUCAUCUCCAAAUCAUCAUGGAAGAGACAGUUUGUGGUACUGGAAUAAGUAAGACAGUGGUACUGAAAUAAGUCUCUAGAGUGGAUCCACUUCUCUAUGUGCUUUUCUGUCUGCACUAUAUUUACUUCUUACAGGAACUUGUACAAAGUGCAGAUUUGCCAGAGAGUGGCGAAGGCCUCUGAUAGCCCUCACCAACACAUCAUUUCCACCAGCAGGCCUUUCUUAGCCCCGUGCAGACUCCAUUUGUCUGGGGGCUAUUCCUGCAUAGUUACUGAGGAAGGCAGCGAAUUCCAAUGAUGAAACAAAUCUUGCUACCAGCACUAGCUCUGUCCUACGACCAUUUUAUACAGUGCAUUCCCAGGCUAGCAGAGCUUUUUCAGUGCAAUCAUCACAGGAACAUUCUGCAGCUCAUCCAGCAGAGUCCAUCAAAGUGGUGCUGUCUUCUCCUUUCUAAAUUGCCUUUUCCCUCUGGCUGUUCUCCUCCCUUACUAGGCAGUUUGCAAUGAAACUUCUUUACCUGUUUAUCCUUUGUUUCUUGUUCAUUCCUCCUUGCUGCUGUCCUGAUCAUGGCCAGCUGUCACACAAUUCUCCAUCCUGCCAUAUUUCAUCCUUCCUCCUCCCUAUCUUCCAUGUUACUAUCUCCUAUGUUAAUAAACUCUCUGGGAUCUGGAAAUCUGUUCAGUGUUUCACAUUGUAUUGCACUUGUGGUUACUACUGACUGGUGCAAAACUAUUGUGUGUAACACUCACAGUCAUCCUAAACUAGACGCAAGUCCAAAAGUUCACCGUUUCAUUGUAUAUUGACAAACAUUCAGCUAGAAAGUGUCCCAGACUUGCUGUAACCCUGACUUCACACCAUGGCACUAACAAAUUGCCCCAACUGAGCAAUCUGUUUCCACCAGUGAGUAUGCUGCUUCAAAAGCAUAGAGAAGCCCUGUUGCAUCACAGAAUAUGUCUAGAUACAUUUAAAGCUGCGAUUGCACAACUACUGCCAAGACUUUCACAACAGAUAAUAUGAACAACAACAACAAAAAAAAUCAGGUACUGGGGUGA